Molecule: unclassified non-coding RNA, 315 nt
Filed under: uncultured Thelephoraceae
Lineage: Eukaryota; Fungi; Basidiomycota; Agaricomycetes; Thelephorales; Thelephoraceae
Description: sequence contains ITS2
Source: RNAcentral
AACGCACCUUGCGCCCUUUGGUAUUCCGAAGGGCAUGCCUGUUUGAGUAUCAUGAACACCUCAACUCUUCAUGGUUUUCCAUGAUGAGCUUGGACUUUGGGGGUCUUGCUGGCCUGCGGUCGGCUCCUCUCAAACAAAUCAGCUUGCCAGUGUUUGGUGGGCAUCACAGGUGUGAUAACUAUCUACGCUUGUGGUCUUCCACCAGGUAACCUUCAGCAGUGGAGGUUCGCUGGAGCUCACAGAUGUCUCUCCUCAGUGAGGACAGCCCUUUGAAUGUUUGAUCUCAAAUCAGGUAGGACUACCCGCUGAACUUAA